Molecule: transfer RNA, 71 nt
Filed under: Caldifarciminota bacterium
Lineage: Bacteria; Pseudomonadati; Caldifarciminota
Description: candidate division WOR-3 bacterium tRNA-Gln
Rfam family: tRNA
About the family: Transfer RNA (tRNA) molecules are approximately 80 nucleotides in length. Their secondary structure includes four short double-helical elements and three loops (D, anti-codon, and T loops).
Source: RNAcentral
UGGGGGAUCGUCUAAUGGUAGGACGGUUGGCUCUGGACCAAUUGAUCGGGGUUCGAAUCCCUGUCCCCCAG